This 447-nucleotide ribosomal RNA is filed under the name uncultured bacterium. RNAcentral describes it as "bacterial SSU rRNA". It matches the Rfam family "Bacterial small subunit ribosomal RNA", at positions 64 to 507 of the family's 1533-position model. The record is from RNAcentral.
GAACGCGCAGCAUUCUGUAGCAAUACAGGGUGUGGGCGCGUGGCGAACGGGUGCGUAACACGUGGAUAACCUUCCUUGAGGUGGGGAAUAACCCAGUGAAAAUUGGGCUAAUACCGCAUAACAUCGCGAUGGCACAUGCUGAUGCGAUCAAAGGCGCAAGUCGCCACAAGAGGGAUCCGCGGCCGAUUAGCUAGUUGGCGAGGUAAUGGCUCACCAAGGCAAUGAUCGGUAGCCGGACUGAGAGGUUGGCCGGCCACACUGGAACUGAGACACGGUCCAGACUCCUACGGGAGGCAGCAGUGGGGAAUCUUGCACAAUGGACGAAAGUCUGAUGCAGCAACGCCGCGUGGGGGAUGAAGCUUCUCGGAGUGUAAACCCCUUUCGACCCGGAAGAAUGCUCGCAAGGGUAUGACGGUACGGGUAUAAGAAGCCCCGGCUAACUACGUG